UACGUAGGUGGCGAGCGUUGUCCGGAAUUACUGGGUGUAAAGGGCGUGUAGGCGGGUAAGCAAGUCAGAUGUGAAAUACCGGGGCUCAACCCCGGGGCCGCAUUUGAAACUGUUUAUCUUGAGUGCAGGAGAGGGAAGCGGAAUUCCUAGUAUAGCGGUGAAAUGCGUAGAUAUUAGGAGGAACACCAGUGGCGAAGGCGGCUUUCUGGACUGUAACUGACACUGAGGCGCGAAAGCGUGGGUAGCAAACAGGAUUAGAUACCCUGGUAGUCCACGCCGUAAACGAUGGAUACUAGGUGUAGGAGGUAUCGACCCCUUCUGUGCCGGAGUUAACACAAUAAGUAUCCCACCUGGGGAGUACGGCCGCAAGGUUGAA
RNAcentral lists this ribosomal RNA (376 nucleotides) under uncultured bacterium. RNAcentral's name for it is "bacterial SSU rRNA". It matches the Rfam family "Bacterial small subunit ribosomal RNA", at positions 524 to 898 of the family's 1533-position model. The record is from RNAcentral.